CCUCAGUUUCAUCUUUCUUUCUUUCUCGACACUCGACGGAGAGAACUGUUCUCAGAGACGACUGACGGACUCAGAGCAGACGAGACGGAGAGACAACCUCGAGCCCUCGACCACUCCAGGCGCCACGGUGAAGGUGAUCCCACCCCGACUCGUCGAUUCCCACGAGAAACAAGAAUAGUGAUCUGAAGGUUCGAUUUUGGGGCUCAGCAGAUUGCCUCUUCGCUAAUCUGACCUAAAUUGCAAAUCGAGCUCGACAGAUUUGAAGGUUACUCUGAAGGUUCGAUUUUAGGGCUAAACAGCGAUCUUGAAGUUGUCUUGCUGGCGUUACUUCCCCUAGAGCAUGGCCCGUCGGAGUGCUUGCUCAACGCCAUCGAAGCCUGUGUCAUCGAUACUUGGCCUACAGUGGCAAUACUCCUUGACCUUCAGUUUAAUAUUAAAUUAUGCUACAUAUUAUUUCCUCGCUGGGUGUGUUUUCCUUCCAAUUGCCGCUCAAGAUAUCGUCUGGCUUUGCAGUGUUUUGGGUGCGUGCAGCUUCUUUAUUUCAUUUCCUCUCCACUUUAAUAUUGUUUGGAGCUGUUUCUGGAAGAGAUCAACGGAGACCAUUCGCAUUUGUCUUCUCAAGAACAAGACCAUCUGUGAAGCAAACAAGAUUUAUGAUCCCCCACUUGAUGAAAUUUCCUAGCUCUUUCCUUGUCUAAGGUUUCUACAGUAGUUGGAGAUACUGGCAACAGUUCCGAUCAGUAUUUCUUUUCCGUCUUCGGAUAUACUUCCACCACGAGUUUAGUUUCUUCCAUAAAUGACCUCUUUCUUGUACUUUAUUCACAAAGGGUUCUCCAAUGGGGAGAUGGGUUCUAUAAUGGAGAUGGGAACUUAUCUAGGUAUGAUUAGGCAGGUUCAUGUCGUGUCUGGGUAAUCAGGUUGACAUGGAUAAACAUGUCAUGUUCUAAAUCUAACUCUUGUAAUAAUCGUGUCGUGUAUGAAUACGUGUACCUAUUAUAACACGUUUCGAUAAAUAGGUUUAAACAUUUUGUGUUCGGGUUAACACAUAUAUA
Molecule: non-coding RNA, 1052 nt
Organism: Punica granatum (pomegranate)
Lineage: Eukaryota; Viridiplantae; Streptophyta; Magnoliopsida; Myrtales; Lythraceae
Source: RefSeq, a predicted model, not a curated record